GUGAGGAAUUUUCCGCAAUGGGCGAAAGCCUGACGGAGCAAUGCCGCGUGAAGGAUGAAGGCCUAUGGGUUGUAAACUUCUUUUCUCAGAAAAGAAUUAUGACGGUAUCUGAGGAAUAAGCAUCGGCUAACUCUGUGCCAGCAGCCGCGGUAAGACAGAGGAUGCAAGCGUUAUCCGGAAUGAUUGGGCGUAAAGCGUCUGUAGGUUGUUUAAAAAGUAUUCUGUCAAAGAUUAGGGCUUAACCCUAGAUAGGCAGAAUAAACUUUUAAGCUAGAGUUUGGUAGAGGCAGAGGAAAUUCCCGGUGGAGCGGUGAAAUGCGUAGAUAUCGGGAGGAACACCAAAGGCGAAGGCACUCUGCUGGGCCAAUACUAACACUGAGAGACGAAAGCGAGGGGAGCAAAUGGGAUUAGAAACCCUUGUAGUCC
RNAcentral lists this ribosomal RNA (426 nucleotides) under uncultured bacterium. Its description in RNAcentral is "partial 16S ribosomal RNA". It matches the Rfam family "Bacterial small subunit ribosomal RNA", at positions 354 to 796 of the family's 1533-position model. The record is from RNAcentral.